AGUGAAGUACUGUAAACUCAAUCUAGUAGUACCCUCACUUGAAGUGACUAUGCUGUAUGUGGUAUCCUUCUACGCAAUAUGGCCUGUUCUCUCCUGAACAAGAAACCAGUUCUUGGUAUUGCUUCACUGUAACUGCCAUUUUCCAUUGAUGAAUAUUCUACUCUUCUGCUGGGGAGAGUAAGAGAUGAGAACACAGUCUUGGGGGG
Small nucleolar RNA from Heterocephalus glaber (naked mole-rat), 206 nucleotides. Its record names the gene U3. It matches the Rfam family "Small nucleolar RNA U3". Rfam says of the family: Small nucleolar RNAs (snoRNAs) are involved in the processing and modification of rRNA in the nucleolus. There are two main classes of snoRNAs: the box C/D class, and the box H/ACA class. U3 snoRNA is a member of the box C/D class. NCBI's taxonomy places the organism in Eukaryota, Metazoa, Chordata, Mammalia, Rodentia, Bathyergidae. The record is from Ensembl.